GAGCCAUUAGCUCAGUCGGUAGAGCAUCUGACUUUUAAUCAGAGGGUCGCAGGUUCGAACCCUGCAUGGCUCA
This is a transfer RNA of Marinilactibacillus sp. 15R, 73 nucleotides long. It matches the Rfam family "tRNA". From Rfam's summary of the family: Transfer RNA (tRNA) molecules are approximately 80 nucleotides in length. Their secondary structure includes four short double-helical elements and three loops (D, anti-codon, and T loops). Further hydrogen bonds mediate the characteristic L-shaped molecular structure. tRNAs have two regions of fundamental functional importance: the anti-codon, which is responsible for specific mRNA codon recognition, and the 3' end, to which the tRNAs corresponding amino acid is attached (by aminoacyl-tRNA synthetases). tRNAs cope with the degeneracy of the genetic code in two manners: having more than one tRNA (with a specific anti-codon) for a particular amino acid; and 'wobble' base-pairing, i.e. permitting non-standard base-pairing at the 3rd anti-codon position. Lineage: Bacteria; Bacillati; Bacillota; Bacilli; Lactobacillales; Carnobacteriaceae. The record is from Rfam.